UACGUAGGGGGCAAGCGUUAUCCGGAUUUACUGGGUGUAAAGGGAGCGUAGACGGCGAUGCAAGUCUGAAGUGAAAGGCGGGGGCCCAACCCCCGGACUGCUUUGGAAACUGUAUGGCUGGAGUGCAGGAGAGGUAAGUGGAAUUCCUAGUGUAGCGGUGAAAUGCGUAGAUAUUGGGAGGAGCACCAGUGGCGAAGGCGGCUUACUGGACUGUAACUGACGUUGAGGCUCGAAAGCGUGGGGAGCAAACAGG
Molecule: ribosomal RNA, 253 nt
Filed under: uncultured bacterium
Lineage: Bacteria
Description: partial 16S ribosomal RNA
Rfam family: Bacterial small subunit ribosomal RNA
Source: RNAcentral